UCUCCGUUGGUGAACCAGCGGAGGGAUCAUUACAGAGUCGUAAAAAACUCCCAACCCAUGUGAACUUACCUUUGUUGCCUCGACAGGACCUACCCAGUAGUUACCCUGUAGCUACCCUGUAGCCCUGCCGGUGGACUACUAAACUCUUGUUAUUUUUAAAGUAAUCUGAGCGUCUUAUUUUAAUAAGUCAAAACUUUCAACAACGGAUCUCUUGGUUCUGGCAUCGAUGAAGAACGCAGC
This 240-nucleotide unclassified non-coding RNA is filed under the name uncultured fungus. RNAcentral describes it as "sequence contains ITS1, 5.8S rRNA gene". The stretch from base 192 to 240 matches the Rfam family "5.8S ribosomal RNA", at positions 1 to 49 of the family's 154-position model. The record is from RNAcentral. Lineage: Eukaryota; Fungi.